This 538-nucleotide long non-coding RNA is filed under the name Drosophila guanche. Lineage: Eukaryota; Metazoa; Arthropoda; Insecta; Diptera; Drosophilidae. The record is from RNAcentral.
CCUAACUUUUAGUUACUUUGAUAUCGUCAUGCGGUUUAUUUCGUUAGCUCUGCUGAUCUUGCUAAUAGGUCUGGUCCUAAUUGCCCCUCUUGGGACAGAUGCUUGUAAGUUUAACCAGUAAAAAAACAGCUAGUGUGGUGUAAACUAUAUUAUAUUACUCUUCUACAGCCUGUAAACAAGCUGGCAAACGCAUGAGAGAUCUAAUAGACUGGGACGAAGAUGGGAGCUGUGAUCGUUCCUCAUACCCCAAAGUCAUAAGCGAAACAGAGGAAGCCCUUGCCGAAAAUGUUGAUUCUGAUUCCGAUCAUGCUGAAGCAUCCUACUUGCCGUAUGAGUCUUUCUUCAGAAAAUUGAAGUGGGCCUUUGCGUUUGUGUACAAAAUUGUCAUUUGGUAUCUGAAUUUCAUUAAGGAAUAAAAUUAAAAUCAUGUGCCAGAGCUGUUAACAAAGCCUAAAUCCUAUUGCUUUACAAAUUUACGAUGUACGAGUAUCAAAAGUCAAGUUUUUCCCUUUCAUAAACAGAGUCACUUGCUUUCCAA